GAGAAGAGAAUAUAUUUCUUCUAUGUAUCCAAGUGUAUUACAAAAUGAUUUCUCGUCCUCUAUUUAUAGUACUACAUAGAGGUAUACUAAAAGAAUUCCAUAAAUAUGUCAUUAAGCUGUUGAGAUCAUGGAGGAAGAUCAUGGGGGAGAUCAUGGAGGUGUGGGAGUUACAACCAUAAGUAUUGGAGUAGUGGGAGUUAUGGAGAUAAUGG
RNAcentral lists this long non-coding RNA (212 nucleotides) under Nicotiana benthamiana. Its description in RNAcentral is "long non-coding RNA (NBEN_LNC019525)". The record is from RNAcentral. Lineage: Eukaryota; Viridiplantae; Streptophyta; Magnoliopsida; Solanales; Solanaceae.